Molecule: long non-coding RNA, 3645 nt
Filed under: Sus scrofa (pig)
Lineage: Eukaryota; Metazoa; Chordata; Mammalia; Artiodactyla; Suidae
Description: lncRNA (ENSSSCG00000053383.1)
Source: RNAcentral
UUGGGAGAAGCAGCAAGGGGAGAGAUCUUAUCAGUCCCCCUAAAUUAUCAGGAUGCCUAUAACACCAGCUUUUCCCCUCCUCAAACACCAGCUUUUACUUCCGUCUACAUUCAUUCUUGAAAGUAUUUGGAGCAUCUUUUUGUAAGACAUGGUUUAUGAACCCCCUGUAAGAAAGCCAUGGGUAUUUGGUAAACGUUCAGAUGAUUAAGCUCUAUCCCUGAACUAAAAGUCAGAAUCUUUUAGGUGUGUUCCUGAAAUGUGCCAGUCAUCAACUUCUCCUCCUGCAGCAUAUGGGGGUUCCCAGGUCCAAUCAGAACUGCAGCUGUGGGCCUACACCACAGCCACAGAAACAUGGGAUCCGAGCCAUGUCUGCAACCUACACACAGCUCACGGCAACGUCGGAUCCCCAACCCACUGAGUGAGGCCAGGGGUCGAACCCGCAUCCUCGUGGAUCCUAGUCGGGUUUGUUACCACUGAGCCAAGAUGGGAACUCCCCCACCAGUGGAAUUCUUACACAGAAAUAAACUUGAGGACAACUGCUUCAAAGCAGAGGCUCAGCAAAUCAGGCUAUAUCAACAUUUACACUUUUCCUGUUUUACUGCUAUUUCUCAGCAAGGUUAUAAACUGCUGAGGGCAAAGACUAUAUCCCAAACCUUAAAGAAUUCCCCAGAGCUUCUCUUACCUCAUAUUUUAAUGAUUUUAUAUUUUGAGCAAUGUUUUUCCAAUUAACAUCAAAAAAGAAAUAACAUUAUCUCAGUAGAGGUCAUGAGAAUUCAAUGAAAUGGGUGUUGAUCAGAUAUUUAAAUUAUGUAUGAAUUAAACAAGCAUCCCAAACCACAGGAACUCAUUGUCCUUUGUCCAUUUUACGAAUUUUUUUCUAGUGUUUGCAUGGGAGAGACAAAGGCACAGUACAUGCAAAUCAUCAAACAUAGCAUGCUCUUUGCUGCGUUACUCUGACUUUAUUAUAUGUCAGAGCCAAAAUUAUUCUCUCCAAAAUUAGAAAUCAUGAUCUCACAUAUAGAUGUUUACUUUCCACACAAUUUCAUGAGUACAUCUACUUAGUUAAGUGAAUUUAAGCAAUAUUUACUUUGCCCUAAGAUGUUCAAAGAAAUGUACUUAAUAUAUUCAAAAUGUAUAUAUUUUUCUCAGAAUCUCCAUUUCUCCACAGGUUAAAUAGGUAAAGCAAUGCUUGUCCCUUUUUGAGGUUGGCAUAGAAGUUAAAGUACACUGGAUUUUUAAAAUUUUAGGACAGGGAUAGUAGUAUAUAGUAGUAUAUAGAUGUGUUUUUAGAUCAUCUGGGAAAAAAUACACCAGACUGAUAAAAGAGCAAGAUCAAGAAUGAUUUCUUUGUGUGUAUGUGUAAAAGCAUUUGGUGGAAGGUUUAUUGUUCUCCUGUGUGAAUGAUCCUCUUUGAAAUUGAAAACUUUGGCUGUUGCUCUUUCUUUCUUUUUUUUUUUUUUUUUUUAAAGUUUAAGGAAUCCCUAAAAUGACUUAAAUAAUCACCCAGGUCCUUUAAAGAUCAGGCAACACCUUCAGUGUGCCCAAGGAGUGCGUAUUUCUUGGAGAGUGGAACACCAUUUUAAGGCUAACACAGGAAGCCACACUCAGGAUUCAAAGUCUAGGGUUGGUAUUUAGUGUGGUUUGCAGCCUGUUUUCCUUACGUGGUGAUGCCUGAAGACAAACUCCCAAGCCCAAGGCACAGAGAUGGAGCAGCUGCAAACACUGAUGAGGUGGGCGGGAGAUCAACUCGGUCACUGGUCUGUACGGACCUGGGGCCAGUAAACUUUCUGUAAAGUGGCAGAUAGAAAAUACAUUGGACUUUGUGGGUCAUACAAUCUCUAUUGCAACAAGUCAGCUCUGCUUCGUGUGAAAGCAGCCACAGACGUGAGAGAAUAAAUCAAGCUGUGUCCCAAUGAAAGGUUACUUACAGAAGCAGGUGACACAGAGGCUCAAGUUUGCCAACCAUCAGCAGAGACUGAAACCCUUCUUGUGGGCUGAGAAGACACUCCAAGCACUAUCUGAAAAAGAAUGGAUAUGUGUAUGUAUACAACUGAAUCACUCUGUUGUACAGCGGAAAUGAUCCGAGCAUGGUAAGUCAACUAUACUUCAAUAAAACUCUAAAAAAAUGUGAAAAAAAGAGAACUUCAGCAUUGGCAACAUCUGUGUUUGGAAGUUCAGGGGAGUCCACGAUGCACCCUUCCAUUCUGUAAAAGGUGGCAAAAAUUUCCUACCUAAACAGCUGCAAAGGAAACAGUUCAGGAGUUCCUUUGUGUCUCAGCGGAAAGGAAUCUGACUAGAAUCCAUGAGGAUGCAGGUUCAAUCCCUGGCCUUGCUCAGUGGGUUAAGGAUCUGGUGUUGUCCUGAGCUGUGGUGUAGGUUGCAGAUGUGGCUCGGAUCUGACAUUGCUGUGGCUAUGACAUAGGCCAGCAGGUAUAGUUCUGAUUUGACCCCAAUCUGGGAGCCUCCAUAUGCUGCAGAUGUGGCCCUAAAAAAGGAAGGAAGGAAUUGGGGAGGGAAGGAAGGGAGGAGGGGAGAAAGAAACCAGUUCAGUUGUUUUUCCCUUUAAAUAUGCCUAUGGCUGGAAUUUGUUUUAAAAAAAAAAGAAGAAGGAAAAAAAGAGAGAGAAGGACAGGAAGUGUGUGCAAAGAAAAACUGGAUUAAGCAAGAAAAUUGACAUAUUCUGGUGGACAGACCCUGUGAGGCCAGAGCACGUUUGCUGACCGGGCAACUAAGACAGAAAAGAAAGCUAAAGAGUGGCCUAGAGAGUGUCUUUAGAAACAAUGGACAAACCACAUGAAAGAAUAAGCAUGUGAGAUUAGUGGUUAAGACUACAGCCUGAGGGGGAGGCCGGCGAGAACACAGCCUCUGGAAACCAGCCGACCUAAAUUUUAAACCCUGUCUGAUCUUAAGCAUGUUUCUUAACCUCCAAACCUCAGUUUCCUCAUCUGUGCAAUGGGAAUAAGGAUACCUUCACAUACAGUAUGUCUGAAAAGAAUAAACUGUUGAACCUUUAACGUAAUGUUAAGUGCCUAGUAAAUGGAAAUCACUGUAAUAAACGAGGGUUUGAGCAGAAAAUUCAUAUUGAGAGCAACUAAAACUGAAAAUGUGAUUAGUUUCCCAGGUGAGUAAAAAAUAAAGCCGUAAACUCAAGCAGCAUACUCCUCUUCUACAAUUAUGUUUUCUAGGUCCAUUCAUUUUUCACUCAGCAAAUUUUUCUCACCGCUUAUUAUAUUACUGGCGCUGUGUUAGUUUCUGGGGUUAAAAAUGAACAAAAGUUCCUCCCUUCUGACAAUAGAAAGUUGAAAGGACCUUAGUGGCUUUACUUGUCAUCAAGAUAAUUGCUUUGAGCUGAAACCCACCUUUCUGCACUCUGAUUAGUGAUACUGAAUGUGACAUUCUGGAAACCACUAAUUCUAUUUAAAUAAUUAACUUAGCAAAAAUAGAAAAAAAUAUAACCUUUUUAUGUGUCUGUCCCUCCCUAGAUAUUAGUCACUUUUCAGUAUUACUCACAUAGAUACACUGUCCCCUUUAAUCUUACUUUAAUUUUACUUUUUCUGGAAAAAUUCUAUUUGGGCCCACCAAAUUUUCCACUGGAUUUAUCCCUUUACAAGUAAACCUGUCUGCUCCCAUCCUGAUUUCCAGGGC